RNAcentral lists this long non-coding RNA (567 nucleotides) under Pongo abelii (Sumatran orangutan). RNAcentral describes it as "lincRNA". The record is from RNAcentral. Lineage: Eukaryota; Metazoa; Chordata; Mammalia; Primates; Hominidae.
AAAUGCUGGGAAAGCAAGAGUUGAAUUGCUAGCCAUGAGGAAAACGUAAGCCUGAGCUGUUUGCUGGCCAUCUUUGCUUCCACAUGGGGAUGGCCUGCCUGGAAAUGAAGCCACACAGAGAAAACAGAAGAGCAGUGAAGAGAAAGGUAAAAGCAGAGAUCCCAUGACAUGAUUUGCCCUCUUAGAUCCAGUUAUGCCUGACGCAGGACCCACCCCUUGGACUUCCCAUUUCCAGGAGCUAAAACUAGAUUGAGUUGAGUUUCUGUCACUUACAGUUGACAGAAAAUAUCAACAAUCCAGCCACAUGGAGCCUCGUGGCAGUACCACUAACCCUGGUCACCACAUGAAUACUGACCAGAGGCAUUUCACCUGAAUCAACUGUUUGUGUUCUUAACUCCAUCUCCUCAUCUGCUUCCUGGAAGACCCAACUGACAUAGAUGGUUACAAGAAAUGAUUUCCUCCUUAUAAAACUUUAGAUGUCAAUGUGAUCUCUCACAAGCACACUGAAAAAUUCACACCAUGGAAAAGAACUAAAGUCCCAUCCUAAUUCAUCAGAACUUUCUGUUU